Molecule: ribosomal RNA, 380 nt
Filed under: uncultured bacterium
Lineage: Bacteria
Description: partial 16S ribosomal RNA
Rfam family: Bacterial small subunit ribosomal RNA
Source: RNAcentral
CCUACGGGAGGCAGCAGUCGGGAAUAUUGCACAAUGGAGGAAACUCUGAAGCAGUGACGCCGCGUGCAGGAAGAAGGUUUUAGGAUUGUAAACUGCUUUAUACAGGGGGGAAAAAGGACAGUAGCUGUAGAAUAAGCUCCGGCUAAAUACAUGCCAGCAGCCGCGGUACUACGUAGGAUGCAAGGGUUAUCCGGAUUUAUUGGGUUUAAAGGGUGCGUAGACGGGAAUUUAAGUUAGUUGUGAAAUCCCUCGGCUUAACUGAGGAACUGCAACUAAAACUGAAUGUCUUGAGUGCGGGAGCGGUAAGUGGAAUGUAUGGUGUAGCGGUGAAAUGCGUAGAGAUUAGGCGGAACACCAGUGGCGAAGGCGACUUUCUGGAC